Molecule: unclassified non-coding RNA, 20 nt
Filed under: Chlamydomonas reinhardtii
Lineage: Eukaryota; Viridiplantae; Chlorophyta; Chlorophyceae; Chlamydomonadales; Chlamydomonadaceae
Description: small RNA Cre_2199
Source: RNAcentral
UACCGAGAGAAUAUGCAAGU